This 513-nucleotide ribosomal RNA is filed under the name uncultured bacterium. Its description in RNAcentral is "partial 16S ribosomal RNA". It matches the Rfam family "Bacterial small subunit ribosomal RNA", at positions 28 to 523 of the family's 1533-position model. The record is from RNAcentral.
GAUGAACGCUGGCGGCAUGCCUAAUACAUGCAAGUCGAGCGAACAGAUGAAGUGCUUGCACUUCUGACGUUAGCGGCGAACGGGUGAGUAACACGUAAGGAAUCUACCUAUAUGCGGGGGAUAACAUUCGGAAACGGGUGCUAAUACCGCAUAAUAUCUUCUUCCGCAUGGAAGAAGAUUGAAAGACGGCUCUGCUGUCACUUAUAGAUGACCUUGCGGUGCAUUAGUUAGUUGGUGGGGUAACGGCCUACCAAGACGAUGAUGCAUAGCCGACAUGAGAGGGUGAUCGGACACAUUGGGACUGAGACACGGCCCAAACUCCUACGGGAGGCAGCAGUAGGGAAUCUUCCGCAAUGGGCGAAAGCCUGACGGAGCAAUGCCGCGUGAGUGAAGAAGGCCUUCGGGUCGUAAAACUCUGUUAUAAGAGAAGAACAAAUUGUAGAGUAACUGCUACAGUCUUGACGGUAUCUUAUCAGAAAGCCACGGCUAACUACGUGCCAGCAGCCGCGGUAA